RNAcentral lists this long non-coding RNA (2054 nucleotides) under Homo sapiens (human). RNAcentral describes it as "non-protein coding PTCSC3:8". The record is from RNAcentral. Lineage: Eukaryota; Metazoa; Chordata; Mammalia; Primates; Hominidae.
UUGCAAGUCAUCAUUCCUGUCCUCACAACAAGAGGGCUGAAAAUUUGAAAAUCAACAAAUCUUCUUAGAUCCAUCAGAGCAUUGCAGUUACAAAUCACAAUGAAAUGAAAAAUCAUUUUCAUGAGUUUUCCCUCCAAAAGACCCACCAGUUUAUCACAGUGAACAUCUGAGAAAAAUUCCCUCUUGCUUCCAGCAAAGACAGAGACAGUGCUCUGCAGGGAGUCUACCACUGUGAUGGUUAAUACUGAGUGUCAACUUGAUUGGAUUGAAGGAUGCAAAGUAUUGUUCCUGGGUGUGUCUGUGAGGGUGUUGCCAAAGGAGAUUAACAUUUGAGUCAGUGGGCUGGGAAAGGUAGACCCAGCCGUAAUCUAGGUGGGCACCAUCUAAUCAGCUGCCAGCACAGCUAGAAGAUAAAGUAGGCAGAAAAACAUGAAAACAUUAGACUGGCCUAGCCUCUGAGCCUACAUCUUUCUCCCAUGCUGGAUGCUCCCUGCCCUUGAACAUCAGACUCCAAGUUUUUCAGUUUUGGGACUGGGACUCACUAUCCUUGCUCCUCAGCUUGCAGACAGCCUAUUGUGGGACCUUAUGAUCAUGCAUUCUGCUGGACCAACAAACAACAGUGUAUUUUUUCAUCCCCCUGCUGUUUGACAAUAAGAUUUUCUUAGCCUUGUAACAAUUAACAACUCAAAAAUAUACAUCUUUGUAUAUGUCUCCUUGAACAAGAGUUUCUCCCUGAGAAGCUCCCAGAAGAAGAACUGUUGGGCUAUGGAGAAUAUGCAUUGUCAACCUUACUUGGUAGUUCCAACAUAGCUUUCCAAAGUGUUUAUACUUAUUUUCCGUCCCUGCAACCACGCCUUGGAGUUCUUGUUUUGUUUGCAUUAUCACCAACAGUGAAUAUUAUCAAACUUAAUAAAUUUGUAAAUAUAAAAUGUUUUGUCCUUGUUUUAAUUUACAUUUCCUAAGUACUAAAGAAGUUGGACAUCUUUACAUAUAUUUAUUGGCCAUUGUAUUAGUUCAUUUUCACACUGCUAAUAAAGACACACCUGAGCCUGAGUAAUUUAUAAAGAAAAAGAAAUUUAAUGGACUCAUAGUUCCACAUGGCUGGGGAGGUCUCACAAUCAUGGCAGAAGGUGAAUGAGGAGAAAGACAUGUCUUACAUGGCAGCAGACAAGAGAGAGCAUGUGAGGGGAACUGCUGUUUAUAAAAUCAUCAGAUUUCAUGAGACUUAUUCACUAUCAAGGGAACAGCAUGGGAAAAACCCGCCCCAUGAUUCAAUUACCUCCCACAGGCUCCCUCCCAUGACACAUGGGGAUUAUUAGAAUUCAAGGUGAGAUUUGGGUGGGGACACAAAGCCAAACCAUAUCAGCCAUCUAUCUUCCUCUGUCAGUUUACCAUUAUAUAUUUUAACAAUAUUUAUAUCUGAUAUUAUUGAUUUCUAAGAGCAUUUUAUAUAUUCUGCGUAUUAAUAUUUCAUUGGUAAUAUGAGUUGCAAGUGUCUUUUCUCAGUCUAUGACUUUUAUUUUCAUCUCUGUCCCCUUUUAUACAGAAGUUUUAUGUUUCAGUGUAUCAGAAUGUAUUAAUUUUUCCUUUCGUGCUUUCUCUAAGAAUUAUAUCUUAGGAGUAAGUUCAAGAGAGCUAUUGUACAAUAUGGUUGUAUAGUUAAUAACAUUUUGAAAAUCACUGACUAGAUUGUUUUUACCACAAAAAAUGAUAAGUACAUGAUGUAAUGUAUGUGUUAAUUAGCUCAAAUGAGCCAUUCCACAAUGUAUACGUAUUUCAAAACAAUGUUGUACACAAUAAGUAUAUAAAUAUAUGCAAUUUCUAUUGGUCAAUUAAAAAUAUAUUUUACUAAAGGCAUAAAAAUAUUCUCCCAUUUUUUGGUUGAAAGUUUUAGAGCUUUGCUGAUCACAUUUAGGUCUUUAAGCUAUCUGGAAUGUAUUUUUGUGAAUGAUGUGAUAUAGCAAUCUCAUUUUAUCUUGUACUAUAUAAUGGCCAAGUUCCUCAGCAUCAUUUAUUGAUGAUUUUAUCCCCUUUCUCAUAUAAAAAACUCCCAA